This 301-nucleotide ribosomal RNA is filed under the name uncultured bacterium. RNAcentral describes it as "partial 16S ribosomal RNA". It matches the Rfam family "Bacterial small subunit ribosomal RNA", at positions 509 to 807 of the family's 1533-position model. The record is from RNAcentral.
CAGUAGCCACGGGAAUACGGAGGGGGCUAGCGUUGUUCGGAAUUACUGGGCGUAAAGCGCACGUAGGCGGCUUUACAAGUCAGAGGUGAAAGCCUGGUGCUCAACACCAGAAUUGCCUUUGAGACUGUAUCGCUUGAACGUCGGAGAGGUGAGUGGAAUUCCGAGUGUAGAGGUGAAAUUCGUAGAUAUUCGGAAGAACACCAGUGGCGAAGGCGGCUCACUGGACGACUGUUGACGCUGAGGUGCGAAAGCGUGGGGAGCAAACAGGAUUAGAUACCCCGGUAGUCCCUGUCUCUUAUAC